UAGCCUUACACAAGCUUCCCACAAUAAGUUGGGUGAAUAUUGGACCAUUCCUGCUGACAGAGCUGGAUGUAAGUGACCAUCAUCACUCCCCAAUCAGUCAUCAAUCAGUCCCCAAUCAGAAGACACCUGUUCCUUUUCCCUCAACCUAUCACAGCCCCUUUCCCUUGGUUUAAAAACCCAGUCAGUUGUUUUCUCCCGAGAUCAAUCUUUGUGUUCAUUCCCUCAAUCUCUCUGUGUUCAAGCUCUCUCUCUGUCCCUAGCUCUACAUCUCUGUGUUGAUCUCUUUUGUUUUGAAACUACAUGUCACUUUCUCCAUCCCACCUACUGCUGGGCCAAAGGGAUUCGUAACACCUCCCCUCAGCAGCCUCAUGUGUUUAAUACUGAGCUGGAGGAGAUUCCAAGGCUGUGAUGCUUCGAGUUUCCACUGCCAUCUACUGGGUCAAUGUGGCAACUGCACACAGUUGUCUAUUUUCCCUCGUAACAUGUGCUGCUGAUGAGCUGGUUGCUGACAGGCGGGACCUGGGGCUGGCUGAGGGUCAAUCUCAUCCUCUUCUUCCAACUCACUGUCAGACUCCGAAUUGACAGAGACAUGAUCCUCAUAUUCGGAAAGUGGAAGACGCUCCUUCCACAUUAGCUUCUCUCUCUGCAGAAAUUAUUUCCAAGGUCCUCUCUGAGCAGAGAUUAUUUUUUGCCGUACUGUUCGAUUGUGGUAAGAAGCCACACAUGCAAAGCUAUUUAUUUGUUUGUGUCCCUUCCUUAAUUAACACCUGGCUGGGAUAGUGUGGGAAAAUACUGACUUUUUUUUACAAUGUAUCGAAAUAACAUUGUGCAGGUUCCUGCAAGACGUUGUGUAGUUUCACUACAAAGGGUAAAGAGUGGGAGAAAGGCAGGGAGACAGACAGACAGACAGGCAGGGAGACAGACAGACAGGCAGGGAGACAGACAGACAGGCAGGGAGACAGACAGACAGGCAGGGAGACAGACAGACAGGCAGGGAGACAGACAGACAGGCAGGGAGACAGACAGACAGACAGGCAGGGAGACAGACAGGCAGGCAGGGAGACAGACAGGCAGGGAGACAGACAGACAGGUUCUUGGUGCUAUGAUGAAACAACAGGCCCAGAGAGGAGGAAGACACAGUGAAAGCACACAGAAAACCAUUUUGUAAAAUGUUUACUUGUUUUCACCUACACACACACUUGUCCACACUUGUAUUAGCUUCGGGUCCAGUGGACCUGAACACCACAUAUGUAAUAUAAAUGUGUAGGUGGGUGCACAGUGUGCACUCAAUGCAAAUAUCUUCUUUUACAUGUUCUUUCACAUGUUCUUCCAGCCCAAUUAUCAAUAUCUAAGUAGACCAGACCCAGCUGGUAAUGCAUUAGUGGCUAUGGGAGAACCAACCCCUUAAUAAGCAGACUGAAACGGAUCAUUUUAUGUAAUAUUAAAUGGCCUGAGUGGGACGUCUUCAUUUAUCCACCAUAUUUUAGGGGAGGCUGAUCUAGCUCUCGGUGUCUGUUCAGAUGGAAUGUCUGUCUCUCCUCUGUUUGUGUUAUCGGAGCCAUAUAUCUAGAUCUAGUUAAAUAUAUGACUCUGCCUGUAAUGGACUGAUGCUUCUCCUUCACGAGCAUUUGGUUAACAUGUUAUGUCACUACUGAUUAUCAUUCUAACUACCAUAUUUCACUACUGAUUGUCAUUGCUUUUCAACAGCUUCUACCCC
This 1717-nucleotide long non-coding RNA is filed under the name Salmo salar (Atlantic salmon). Its description in RNAcentral is "lncRNA (ENSSSAG00000111871.1)". Lineage: Eukaryota; Metazoa; Chordata; Actinopteri; Salmoniformes; Salmonidae. The record is from RNAcentral.